CAGCCAAAGUGAGCGCCAGCUGCUCCUAUAUGAAGCUGAGGCCCUGGCCGGCGGACCCUUGGCAGUGUUGGGCCUGGACGUGGCUCCCUCAACCCUGCUGCCCAGCUACGACCCAGACACUGGCCUGGUGCUCCUGACCGGCAAGGGCGACACCCGUGUAUUCCUGUACGAGCUGCUCCCCGAGUCCCCUUUCUUCCUGGAGUGCAACAGCUUCACGUCGCCUGACCCCCACAAGGUGAGGCCACCCUGGCGCCUCGUCCCCGAUGGGACCACAAGGCUGCCCUGCCCCCUGGUGGCCAUGUGGGCAAGUACAGGAGCCUGUGGGUCGGGGGUCAGAGUCCUGGGCUGGGGCUGGGCCUGGGGCUGUGCCCAGUGACUGGCAAGAAGAGUUGCUGCUGGAAUUAUUUAGGAAUUUUGAGAGCCAUUGUCAUACUCAACCAUUAUUAAAAAUCAUACUGUAGGCCGGGUACGGUGGCCUGGAAUCCCAACACUUCGGAAGGCUGAGGCAGGAGAAUUGCUUGAGCCCAGGAGUUCAAGACCAGCCUGGGCAACAUAGCAAGACCCCAUCUCUACAAAACAAACAAAAAAUUGCACUAGAUAAGGUUAAACUAUAUGAACCUACAAUAUGAACCUAAAAAUAAUAUUAAAAACCAAAGUAAUAAACACUCAGUUUAUCACUUC
RNAcentral lists this long non-coding RNA (681 nucleotides) under Homo sapiens (human). RNAcentral describes it as "non-protein coding lnc-PAM16-4:1". The record is from RNAcentral. Lineage: Eukaryota; Metazoa; Chordata; Mammalia; Primates; Hominidae.